GGGGACGUGCUGGAAUUGGCAGACAGGCAUGACUUAGGAUCAUGUGCCGCAAGGCGUGUGGGUUCAACUCCCACCGUCCCCA
Molecule: non-coding RNA, 82 nt
Organism: Chloroflexi bacterium RBG_16_52_11
Lineage: Bacteria; Bacillati; Chloroflexota
Source: Rfam